GAUUUUAUUUUUUAUGUUUUUAGAUGUUUAUAUUAUUUGAAUGUUUUAUUCAAAUAAUAUAAAAAAUAAAAUAUAUAUAUUGACAUGGAUUAAACAAAGAUAUAUAUUAUUCUAUGUUGUAUAAACAAAUUGGCAGAAUAGAGAUGGAAGAUAAAAAUAUGGUCAAAGUAAUAAGAGUCUAUGGUGAAUGCCUAGGAGCUUUAAGGCGAAGAAGGUCGUGGUAAGCUGCGAAAAGCUUGGGGGAGAAGCAAACAUUUAUUGAUCCCAAGAUUACCGAAUGGAGUAAUCCAGCUAGCAAGAUGCUAGCUAUCUAUUAUUUAAAUAAUAGAGGCGAUACCAGG
This 341-nucleotide unclassified non-coding RNA is filed under the name uncultured Borrelia sp. RNAcentral's name for it is "partial contains 5S-23S ribosomal RNA intergenic spacer and 23S ribosomal RNA". The stretch from base 161 to 341 matches the Rfam family "Bacterial large subunit ribosomal RNA", at positions 1 to 188 of the family's 2925-position model. The record is from RNAcentral. Lineage: Bacteria; Pseudomonadati; Spirochaetota; Spirochaetia; Spirochaetales; Borreliaceae.